UGUACCAAUAAAAUCUUUGAUCCAGC
This 26-nucleotide non-coding RNA is filed under the name Cricetulus griseus (Chinese hamster). The record is from RNAcentral. Lineage: Eukaryota; Metazoa; Chordata; Mammalia; Rodentia; Cricetidae.